CGUCCCCCGUCCCCCUCCCCCUUAGACCCAGAACCUCAGCGUCCCCACGCUGCCCAGGCACUUGGCCACAGUGAAAGAUGAUCUGACACACUCAUUCACUUCUUUGCCUUUAAAGGAAAUGCCCAGUAGACAGCCUUUCUGCUCGGAAUCGAGCGCAAAUGGUAGGAUUUUAGGCACUCAAGAGACAGAUGUCUUCGGGUCCGGGUGCCUCUGAGAAGUCUCCCCAUCGCAUAUGAUGAGCGCCUACCCUUGAAUGGACACAGCUAGCUCACCCCCACCCCAGAAGUGGGGAGAGGGCCUGGCCCUCUGCUCUGGCUCCAGCUGCUCUGACAGGACAGGUCCCGGUACAUCCUGGCAGUCUUGCUUCUGGGCCUUUGCACAUGCCAUUGUCCCUGCCAGGAAUUCCCUCACUCAUCCCUUCCAUCCCCUACUUCAAGGCCAAGGUCCAAUCCCACCUUCUCCAGGAAGCCUUCCCUGGUUGCUUUCGCUCCUUGUGAUCGUCCUCGCCUUUGAACUACCUGGACACUUUCCAGCUAUACACUCAUGCAACCUAAUAAAUGUUUACCGUGCAUCCACCCUGGGCCAGACCCCUUGCUGGGCUCAAGGCGCACGAGAGUAACUCGGUGGUAGGCUGCAGUGGAAGGAGCUCCCAUCCUAUCCCGUUGUGGGGGGUGAGAGCCACAGGUUGUGAUAAUGCAGGGAUCCAGGACUCAGGUGGGGACAUGCUGAUGUUGUGAGGGCUCGGGGGGAGAGAGAGCCCCUCCGCCCCCAUCUCUCAGGGGGCUGACAUCUGAGCUGGGUAUGGAAGGAUCAGCAGGCAUUCACCUGGCCUGAGGGAAAGGGAAGACGAGCGUUCAGCUGAGGCAAGGGGGGAGGGAGGAAGUGGUGAUGGAAGGUAGCGUAACAGACAGGAUCCACAAGGUAACCUAAGGUACGCUCAAGCUGGGUCAUUUGAGGGUGUUUGCAAAGGUGUGGGCAGGGUGUGGGGAAACCAGCACACUGCCGGUCACUGGGAAAGCCAGUUAAACCUCUAGGCAGCUCAGGGGCUAAGGAGACAAGAUAGCCUGGGUGCAGGGGGCUGCCUGGAUGGAAGACCUGCAGAGAAGCAGUGCCCUGACCCCUGCCAGGCUCCUGCCAACUAGCCUCAGCUGGAAAAACCAUUUCAUGGGAAAGCUGCUGAUGGAGCCCAUGCAGGCCAGCCUUUUUGGGGUCCAGUCCAGGGAACAAGGGUGGAGAGCAAAUCCAGAGAGACAAGGAACGAGUGGAGGGCACUGGGCUCGGCCGCAGAGACCACGGGGCCCCUCUGGAGGCCCCAGUCCCCUAUUGUUCAGCGAAAACCCAGCUCAGGGCUACCCUGGGGUCGGGGACACCUCCCUCCCUGCCCAUCAAGGCUCAGAUCCUUGGUAGGAAAUAGCUGUUUCACUGGGUCCUAUCUCGUUGCAGCAUUGUUAAGAUGUCACUGAGUGUCAUCUGAAAAUAGAAACGCCGCCCAGGCCUACCAUGGAAACGCUUUUGCCUCCCCGACUCCCCACCCGCCUGCGAAUGGAAGCUGCUGUCACCCGAACGCCUGUUCAGCCACCAAGAGAGAGCUGGUGCUUCCUGAGAGUGCCCGUGCACCAAGCACCGGGUCCAGCUCGUUACAGACGUGAUCACAUCAUUUUAUAAUCACCAACUCUUGGGAGCGGCGGGAUGCUGAGGGUCAGGGUGAUGGUAAUUUGCUCAGUGUCACAGGCUAAUAAGUGAGGGGGCUGGUAUCUGCAUCUGACUCCAGGAGCCGGUUUCAUGAGUUCUCCAGGGAGCGCUUGACCAGGAAGCCGACGAACUCACGAGCCCUUACUUUUUCUUCCUCCAUCUCUUCAUCUGAUCAAAUAAUCAAGUAUAGGAAGAGCCAACAUUAUUUGAGCUGCCAUUGUAGGCCCAGCUCUGUGCUGAGCUUUCUUACACGUUCAGGUCUUACCUCCAUUUUAUCAGUCACGAAACCGAGGUUCAGAGAGGUUAAGCAACUUGCCCAAAGCCACACAGCGAUGAAGAAGUUGGAGCAGGACUCCAAGGCCGGAGGUCCCCAUGCUCACCAGCCAGGCCGUAUGCCAGGCUGUGUCAGACAGCCUUGACCGAUGUCUAGGCCCAGGGCUCAAGGUGCUCCUAGGGAGAAUUUGGUCGUCUUUUUCUUGGAAAGCUGUUUCGGAAAACUCAAGCCUGGUCACCCCUUCCUUCAAAAGAGGCCAAGCCAAGUGGCGGUGGGGUGUCCUCAUCUCACUGUGCUCUCAUGAUGGGCCAGCUCACCUGGCCUCUGUGAGGGCCUCUCCUCCCACUUCAGUGGGGAGAGGGGCCCUUGGGGGAUGGAGCUGCUGAGGUGCCCAGCCUUGCCGUCAGUUCCUGGGGAGACUGGACGGAAGAGGCUGGCCUGGUUCCUUCCCUCCCUGGUUGUCCUGGGUUGACCUGUGUCCCCUUGAAAUUCAUACGUUGACAUCCUAUCCCUCAGUACCUCAAAAUGUGACCUUGUUUGGAGAUGGGGUCUUUACAGAGGUAAUCAAGUUAAAGUGAAAUCAUUAGGGUGGGUCUCCAUUAGGGUAGGGAAAUUGGGACCGACGGACAUUUUCAGAGGGAGGACACACACGUAUGACACCCCCCCCCCACACACACACACACUCACACACAGAGAACACCAGGAAGAUGCUGGGGAAGAACCCACCAGAAGUUAGGGGAGCGGCAGGAACACAUUCUCCCUCGUGGACCUUGGAAGGCAUGGAUCCCCUCUCCCCCCCCGGCCCCCCCCAACACACCUGGAUCUCAGACUCCCGGCUGAAGAGCUGUGAGACACUACAUUUCUGCUGCUGGAAUGACUCCGUUUGUCACGCACAUCUAGCAAACCAAGGCAUCAGCCUUCUCUGCGAGGGGAGGCCUUUGCUUGCCAGCAGUCUGCGGCCCCCGGCCCCUGGCAAAUAAACCACCGAAUAAGUGACA
This 2964-nucleotide long non-coding RNA is filed under the name Felis catus (domestic cat). RNAcentral's name for it is "lncRNA (ENSFCAG00000053192.1)". Lineage: Eukaryota; Metazoa; Chordata; Mammalia; Carnivora; Felidae. The record is from RNAcentral.